CCAUUUUUGGCCGAGUGGUUAAGGCAAUGGACUAGAAAUCCAUUGGGAUCUUCCCGCGCAGGUUCAAAUCCUGCCAAAAGCU
This 82-nucleotide transfer RNA is filed under the name Dallia pectoralis (Alaska blackfish). Its description in RNAcentral is "tRNA-Ser". It matches the Rfam family "tRNA". From Rfam's summary of the family: Transfer RNA (tRNA) molecules are approximately 80 nucleotides in length. The record is from RNAcentral. Lineage: Eukaryota; Metazoa; Chordata; Actinopteri; Esociformes; Umbridae.